This 45-nucleotide non-coding RNA is filed under the name Caenorhabditis japonica. RNAcentral describes it as "sRNA CJA49032". It matches the Rfam family "Histone 3' UTR stem-loop". Rfam says of the family: The mRNAs of metazoan histone genes lack a poly-A tail. 3' end processing occurs at a site between a highly conserved stem-loop (modelled by this family) and a purine rich region around 20 nts downstream (the histone downstream element, or HDE). Lineage: Eukaryota; Metazoa; Nematoda; Chromadorea; Rhabditida; Rhabditidae. The record is from RNAcentral.
CCAACGGCCCUCUUUAGGGCCACAAAUUCUGAGAAUCCUAAAAUU